CCGUAGCCCAAGAGAUCGGGAUAACACCUGGAAACAGAUGCUAAUACCGGAUAACAACAGAUGAUGCCUAUCAACUGUUUAAAAGAUGGUUCUGCUAUCACUCUUGGAUGGACCUGCGGUGCAUUAGCUAGUUGGUAGGGUAACGGCCUACCAAGGCGAUGAUGCAUAGCCGAGUUGAGAGACUGAUCGGCCACAUUGGGACUGAGACACGUCCCAAACUCCUACGGGAGGCAGCAGUC
This 239-nucleotide ribosomal RNA is filed under the name uncultured Lactobacillus sp. RNAcentral's name for it is "partial 16S ribosomal RNA". It matches the Rfam family "Bacterial small subunit ribosomal RNA", at positions 125 to 355 of the family's 1533-position model. The record is from RNAcentral. Lineage: Bacteria; Bacillati; Bacillota; Bacilli; Lactobacillales; Lactobacillaceae.